This 223-nucleotide ribosomal RNA is filed under the name uncultured bacterium. RNAcentral's name for it is "partial 16S ribosomal RNA". It matches the Rfam family "Bacterial small subunit ribosomal RNA", at positions 328 to 539 of the family's 1533-position model. The record is from RNAcentral.
ACGCUCGACACCUACGGGGGGCAGCAGUAGGGAAUCUUCCACAAUGGGCGCAAGCCUGAUGGAGCAACACCGCGUGAGUGAAGAAGGGUUUCGGCUCGUAAAGCUCUGUUGUUGGAGAAGAACGUGCGUGAGAGUAACUGUUCACGCAGUGACGGUAUCCAACCAGAAAGUCACGGCUAACUACGUGCCAGUAGCCGCGGUAAUCUGAGCGGGCUGGCAAGGC